RNAcentral lists this ribosomal RNA (303 nucleotides) under uncultured bacterium. RNAcentral's name for it is "partial 16S ribosomal RNA". It matches the Rfam family "Bacterial small subunit ribosomal RNA", at positions 507 to 809 of the family's 1533-position model. The record is from RNAcentral.
AGCAGUAGCCGCGGGAAUACGAAGGGUGCAAGCGUUACUCGGAAUUACUGGGCGUAAAGCGUGCGUAGGUGGUGGUUUAAGUCCGUUGUGAAAGCCCUGGGCUCAACCUGGGAAUUGCAGUGGAUACUGGGUCACUAGAGUGUGGUAGAGGAUAGUGGAAUUUCCGGUGUAGCGGUGAAAUGCGUAGAUAUAGGAAGGAACACCAGUGGCGAAGGCGACCACCUGGACUGAUACUGACACUGAGGUGCGAAAGCGUGGGGAGCAAACAGGAUUAGAUACCCGAGUAGUCCCUGUCUCUUAUAA